RNAcentral lists this ribosomal RNA (228 nucleotides) under uncultured eukaryote. Its description in RNAcentral is "partial 18S ribosomal RNA". It matches the Rfam family "Eukaryotic small subunit ribosomal RNA", at positions 1208 to 1456 of the family's 1831-position model. The record is from RNAcentral.
UGAAAUCUCACCAGGCCCGGACACUGGAAGGAUUGACAGAUUGAUAGCUCUUUCUUGAUUCGGUGCGUGGUGGUGCAUGGCCAUUCUUAGUUGGUUGAGUGAUUUGUCUUGUUAAUUCCGAUAACGAACGAGACCUUAACCUGCUAAAUAGUGACGCGGUUCAUCGAACCGUGGGCCACUUCUUAGAGGGACUAUCGGAUUCAAACCGAUGGAAGUGUGAGGCAAUAA